RNAcentral lists this ribosomal RNA (395 nucleotides) under uncultured bacterium. Its description in RNAcentral is "partial 16S ribosomal RNA". It matches the Rfam family "Bacterial small subunit ribosomal RNA", at positions 523 to 918 of the family's 1533-position model. The record is from RNAcentral.
AUACGUAGGUGACAAGCGUUAUCCGGAUUUACUGGGCGUAAAGGGCGUGUAGGCGGUCUUGCAAGUCAGAAGUGAAAUUCCUGAGCUCAACUCGGGCGCUGCUUCUGAAACUGCAGGACUUGAGUGCUGGAGGGGAUAGCGGAAUUCCUAGUGGAGCGGUAAAAUGCGCAGAUAUUAGGAAGAACACCGGUGGCGAAGGCGGCUAUCUGGACAGUAACUGACGCUGAGGCGCGAAAGCGGGGGGAGCAAACAGGAUUAGAUCCCCUGGUAGUCCACGCCGUAAACGAUGAGCACUAGCUGUUGGGGCCGAAUGGUCUCAGUGGCGCAGUUAACGCAAUAAGUGCUCCGCCUGGGGAGUACGCGCGCAAGCGUAAAACUCAAAUGAAUUGACGGGG